RNAcentral lists this ribosomal RNA (1287 nucleotides) under uncultured bacterium. Its description in RNAcentral is "bacterial SSU rRNA". It matches the Rfam family "Bacterial small subunit ribosomal RNA", at positions 93 to 1399 of the family's 1533-position model. The record is from RNAcentral.
UAGCGGCGGACGGGUGAGUAACGCGUGAGCAACCUGCCUUCCAGUGGGGAAUAACGCACCGAAAGGUGUGCUAAUACCGCAUGAGACCACAAUGGGGAAUCCCAUAGGGGUCAAAGGAUUUAUUCGCUGGAAGAUGGGCUCGCGUCUGAUUAGCUAGUUGGUGAGGUAACGGCCCACCAAGGCGACGAUCAGUAGCCGACCUGAGAGGGUGAUCGGCCACAUUGGAACUGAGAAACGGUCCAAACUCCUACGGGAGGCAGCAGUGGGGAAUAUUGCGCAAUGGGGGGAACCCUGACGCAGCAACGCCGCGUUGAGGAAGACGGUUUUCGGAUUGUAAACUCAUGUCUGAUGGGAAGAUAAUGACGGUACCAUCGGAGGAAGUCACGGCUAACUACGUGCCAGCAGCCGCGGUAAUACGUAGGUGGCAAGCGUUGUCCGGAAUUACUGGGUGUAAAGGGCGCGUAGACGGGUAAAUAAGUUAGAUGUGAAAUACCGGGGCUCAACUCCGGGGCUGCAUUUAAAACUGUUUAUCUUGAGUGCAGGAGAGGGAAGCGGAAUUCCUAGUGUAGCGGUGAAAUGCGUAGAUAUUAGGAGGAACACCAGUGGCGAAGGCGGCUUUCUGGACUGUAACUGACGUUGAGGCGCGAAAGCGUGGGUAGCAAACAGGAUUAGAUACCCUGGUAGUCCACGCUGUAAACGAUGAUUACUAGGUGUAGGAGGUAUCGACUCCUUCUGUGCCGGAGUUAACACAAUAAGUAAUCCACCUGGGGAGUACGACCGCAAGGUUGAAACUCAAAGGAAUUGACGGGGGCCCGCACAAGCAGUGGAUUAUGUGGUUUAAUUCGACGCAACGCGAAGAACCUUACCAGGAUUUGACAUCCUACUAACGAAGCAGAGAUGCAUUAGGUGCCCUUCGGGGAAAGUAGAGACAGGUGGUGCAUGGUUGUCGUCAGCUCGUGUCGUGAGAUGUUGGGUUAAGUCCCGCAACGAGCGCAACCCCUAUUGUUAGUUGCUACGCAAGAGCACUCUAGCGAGACUGCCGUUGACAAAACGGAGGAAGGCGGGGACGACGUCAAAUCAUCAUGCCCCUUAUGUCCUGGGCUACACACGUAAUACAAUGGCGAUCAACAGAGGGAAGCAAGACAGUGAUGUGGAGCAAAUCCCUAAAAAUCGUCUCAGUUCGGAUUGCAGGCUGCAACUCGCCUGCAUGAAGCUGGAAUUGCUAGUAAUCGCGGAUCAGCAUGCCGCGGUGAAUACGUUCCCGGGCCUUGCACUCACCGCCCGUCA